Capsicum annuum is the source of this 2539-nucleotide RNA transcript. It is a transcript of the gene named pentatricopeptide repeat-containing protein At4g16470, with no coding region annotated. The record is from RefSeq and is a predicted model, not a curated record. Lineage: Eukaryota; Viridiplantae; Streptophyta; Magnoliopsida; Solanales; Solanaceae. The transcript is spliced from 3 exons.
UUUUCGCUCUUAUAUGCACGACUUAAAUCCAUAACCUCCAAAUCACAACAACAAAGAAUUAGCCUCCCCAAAUUUAAUCAAAAUUCAACUUUCAAUCUUUUACAAUGUACAAUUUGUAGGUCAAAGUUGGUACUUUCCAACCUUUCUUUGUGUUUUGUAGACUUGUUACUUCUUUCCCUCCAAACCAAGAACCCCAAAAACCCUUAAAACUCUCUCCCCUUUUUUCUUAUGUCAAUUUUUCCAUAAAAUUAUACUUCAAAAUACUCUCUAUGUGACAAAAUUUUCAAGAAUUUCAACUCCAAAAGUCGUAAAAAAAUUGAAAAUUCAACAUAUACAUGUUACCAUUAUCAAGAAUGAAGUCACUCUUUUGCCCAUUAAUUUCAAAACCCACCACCAUGUUUGUAUGUAGGAGAUAUGGGGUUCUUAGUACUUUCAAGAACCUUAAUUAUGCUCAAACAGUGAACCCCAUGAGUAAAGUUUGUACCUUUAGAUGUUCUACUGUGCAAAACUGUAGUCAAGUUAGGGUCUUGAAUAGUGAGUCAUUGGGUAAGAGUGAGGGUUCUGGUGAGGUUCAUGUGAUUGUUGGUCCUAUGUUUGCUGGAAAAACUACUACUCUUUUGAAGAGGAUUAAGUCUGAAAGAAGUAAUGGCAGUUUUCAGGCCAAUGGUGUAAAGAAUUCCCUCUAUUUGGAUGAGACGCUAAAAGGACUCUGUUUCUCGGGAAGGGUGGCUGAAGCAUUUGGAAUAUUGUGCCGCUCUGGUGUACAGGUGGAGGCAGAAACUUAUUCCCUUGUUCUGCAAGAGUGCAUUUUCCGCCAAGCGUAUAAGAAAGGGAAAAGAGUCCAUUGGCAAAUGAUCACCGUCGGCUUUGUUCCAAAUGAGUAUCUGACUGUUAAGUUGCUAAUUUUGUAUGCAAAAGCUGGAGAUUUGGAUACAGCACACAUUAUAUUUGAUAAGUUGCAAUUCAAAAGCCUGAUUUCGUGGAAUGCUAUGAUUGCUGGAUACGUGCAAAAGGGCAUGGAGGAAGUAGGCCUGAGUAUGUACCAUAAUAUGAAACAGAGAGAUGUACUUCCAGAUCAGUAUACCUUUUCAUCAGUCUUUAGAGCCUGUGCCUCUUUAGCUGUCCUCAACCAGGGCAAGCAAGCACAUGCGUUGUUGAUUAAAAGCCAAAUUAGUGGAAAUAUUGUAGUUAAUAGUGCGCUUAUGGACAUGUAUUUCAAGUGUAGUUCUCCGUCUGAUGGCUAUCUUGUGUUUAGUAAGUCCUUGGAAAGGAAUGUGAUAACAUGGACUGCUUUGAUAUCAGGGUACGGACAAAAUGGAAGAAUAAAAGAUGUUCUGGAAUCAUUUCAUAGGAUGAUAGAUGAAGGAUUUAGGCCAAACCAUGUUACGUUUCUUGCAGUUCUUUCUGCUUGUAGCCACGGAGGUCUGGUAGAUAGAGGUAAGGAGUAUUUUUCAUCUAUGAUGAGAGAUUAUGGGCUUCGACCAAGAGGAAAACAUUAUGCAGCUAUUGUGGAUCUUCUAGGCCGUGCUGGAAGAUUACAAGAGGCUCAUGAGUUUGUCAAAAACUCACGUUGUGGAGAGCACCCAGUAUUAUGGGGUGCCUUACUUGGGGCUUGUAAGAUUCAUGGAGACAUCGAGAUGGUAAAACUUGCUGCUAGAAAUUUCUUUGACUUGGAGCCGGAGAAUGCAGGCAAAUACGUUGUCUUGUCUAAUGCUUAUGCUUCUUUUGGUUUGUGGAACAAUGUUGCGGAGAUAAGGAGACUGAUGAAGGACACGGGAGUGAAAAAGGAGCCUGGUUAUAGCAUGAUUGAGAUUCAAAGACAAGCACAUUUCUUCUUUAUGGAGCAUAAUGCUCAUGAACAGACUGAUGAGAUAUAUAAAUUGGUCAAAGAUAUGGCAGGUAUAUUAAAAGACGCUGGCGAUGUUCCAGAGUUACUGAGUUAAGGGGAAAGGACCAACAUCAAUAUAGGUUGAAUUAUUUGGUUGAAUCCCUAGCAUUUAACUGCAAAGUGGAAAGACUAACAGUUGAACAUAGAAAGGAAAACAGGCUUCAGCCUUUUUGCUUCAAGUAGAGAAUGCACUUUCUAGACAUAAGCCUUACUUUCCUGGAAUCUGUGACCCUUCAUCAGAAUUGUUCUUGGGAGAUGAUAUUUGCCUCUGAAUGCAAGAAUUGGAUUGUGUUCUCUCACGGUUUCAGCUGAUGCAAGAUGGUGCUUUGUAGAAAGCGGGGGCUUGCUAUUUGCUUAUAUAUGAGGAACGUGUAUGUGAUACAGACCAAGGAGAGGAUCGGCUUCAGCGAUGUUCUAGGUUUACGGGAUGUGGUUUUUAGUAAAACAACAACAUACCCAGUGUAAUCCCACAAAGUGGGGUCUUGGUAAAACGACUAUAUCAAAGAAAACAUAUUCUCUUAAGAAGUGUAGCAAUUAUAAAGUCGGACAAGGAUACAAGAUAUGGAUUGGAUUCCAUCGUGACACAUGAUGGGGACAGAUUGCCAUGCUGGCCUUUAGCUAAUCUAUCGUCCUUCAAACAGAGAUGUGGUC